Molecule: unclassified non-coding RNA, 316 nt
Filed under: plant metagenome
Description: partial contains 5.8S ribosomal RNA, internal transcribed spacer 2, and large subunit ribosomal RNA
Rfam family: 5.8S ribosomal RNA (bases 1-105)
Source: RNAcentral
GAAAUGCGAUAACUAGUGUGAAUUGCAGAAUUCCGUGAAUCAUCGAGUCUUUGAACGCACAUUGCGCCCCCUGGUAUUCCGGGGGGCAUGCCUGUCCGAGCGUCAUUGCUGCCCAUCAAGCACGGCUUGUGUGUUGGGUCGUCGUCCCCUCUCCGGGGGGGACGGGCCCCAAAGGCAGCGGCGGCACCGCGUCCGAUCCUCGAGCGUAUGGGGCUUUGUCACCCGCUCUGUAGGCCCGGCCGGCGCUUGCCGAACGCAAAUCAAUCUUUUUCCAGGUUGACCUCGGAUCAGGUAGUGAUACCCGCUGAACUUAAGC